AUUGAACGCUGGCGGCAUGCCUUACACAUGCAAGUCGAACGGUAACAGGUUAAGCUGACGAGUGGCGAACGGGUGAGUAAUACAUCGGAACGUGCCCAGUAGUGGGGGAUAGCCCGGCGAAAGCCGGAUUAAUACCGCAUACGACCUAAGGGUAAAAGGGGGGGAUCGCAAGACCUCUCGCUAUUGGAGCGGCCGAUGUCAGAUUAGCUAGUUGGUGGGGUAAAAGCUCACCAAGGCGACGAUCUGUAGCUGGUCUGAGAGGACGACCAGCCACACUGGGACUGAGACACGGCCCAGACUCCUACGGGAGGCAGCAGUGGGGAAUUUUGGACAAUGGGCGCAAGCCUGAUCCAGCCAUGCCGCGUGCGGGAAGAAGGCCUUCGGGUUGUAAACCGCUUUUGUCAGGGAAGAAAUCCUUUGGGUUAAUACCUCGGGGGGAUGACGGUACCUGAAGAAUAAGCACCGGCUAACUACGUG
RNAcentral lists this ribosomal RNA (477 nucleotides) under uncultured bacterium. Its description in RNAcentral is "partial 16S ribosomal RNA". It matches the Rfam family "Bacterial small subunit ribosomal RNA", at positions 30 to 507 of the family's 1533-position model. The record is from RNAcentral.